AUUGAACGCUGGCGGCAUGCUUUACACAUGCAAGUCGAACGGUAACAGGCCGCAAGGUGCUGACGAGUGGCGAACGGGUGAGUAAUGCAUCGGAACGUGCCCAGUCGUGGGGGAUAACUACUCGAAAGAGUAGCUAAUACCGCAUACGAUCUAUGGAUGAAAGCGGGGGACCGUAAUGCCUCGCGCGAUUGGAGCGGCCGAUGUCAGAUUAGGUAGUUGGUGGGGUAAAGGCUCACCAAGCCAACGAUCUGUAGCUGGUCUGAGAGGACGACCAGCCACACUGGGACUGAGACACGGCCCAGACUCCUACGGGAGGCAGCAGUGGGGAAUUUUGGACAAAGGGCGCAAGCCUGAUCCAGCAAUGCCGCGUGCAGGAAGAAGGCCUUCGGGUUGUAAACUGCUUUUGUACGGAACGAAACGGCUCUGGUUAAUACCCGGGGCUAAUGACGGUACCGUAAGAAUAAGCACCGGCUAACUACGUG
Molecule: ribosomal RNA, 482 nt
Filed under: uncultured bacterium
Lineage: Bacteria
Description: partial 16S ribosomal RNA
Rfam family: Bacterial small subunit ribosomal RNA
Source: RNAcentral